RNAcentral lists this long non-coding RNA (3209 nucleotides) under Pongo abelii (Sumatran orangutan). Its description in RNAcentral is "lncRNA (ENSPPYG00000031468.1)". Lineage: Eukaryota; Metazoa; Chordata; Mammalia; Primates; Hominidae. The record is from RNAcentral.
CAGAGAAGAGGCCCAGACACAGAGAUGCAUUCGAGAAGGGGCCUUCAGAGCUCAGAACCCAGGAGCAGAGGCCUCCAGCAAGACCAGGGAAGAAACAGUCCUCUUGGGUCCCCCAGGAAGGGUCCCAGGAGCUGCAAGCAGGCCAGGAUCAGAGUGAGCUGGGGUUUCUGCCUUCCUGGGUUCCUGAAGUACCUGAAGGGCUGCAGCAGCUGGGCUCCAGAAAGGAGAUCAAGGGCCAGCAGGGGAGGCAACGAAAUCGGGGAACCGGGGAGGAUCAGCCUCCUGAGAGCUGCCAGGGCUCCGGAUAUCAAUCCACCCUCGGUCACCAGGCAGACAUGGUGCAGCCAGCAGAGCCUUGCUGCCGCUUGGCCAGCCGUGGCCAGCCACUGGGAGGCAGGCACCCCAAGGAGGCAGGUGUCCCACACAUCAGGCCACAGGAGGCUCCGCCAGAGCCCAGCCCAGGAGGACAUGGGGACAGCUCUCAGGAAGCAAUGCCCCCAAUGUCCAUCGUGGCUCCAGAGGAAAAGACAGCCAACCCCUUCCUGCCAUCCACGCCUGGACCUAAAAAACCAAAAGGAGGGAGUGAGGCUGUGGAGACCCAGCCAGCACCGGGGCCUCUUCCUCCACCAGUAAGUAGGGCCAUAGUGGGAAUGGGGAUGGGCUGUGUAGGGGAAGGGCAGGGGGGAUGAGGAGGAGGAAGAGGGCAGAGACAGAUAUGGCACGUCAAACCCCUAUUUGGAGUCAAACCAAGGAAGGUGUGUGUGGCUGUGUGUUAAAGUGCACAUGGACGCGCACACGUGUGUGUGUGUGUGCGCCUGUGUGUAUGCAUGUGUGUGUAUUCUGGGUGGGCGUCAAGAAUGCUCUUACACUCUGGAGCCCUUGGGUUCAUCCCAGGUGGUGGCCUGUUCCACAUCAGCAUGGAUUUCUUCCACCCAUUUGCCCUCGGCCACAGCCACACAAUCCAAAGCAUCCCUGAACACCUGGGAGGCUUCCCCGACCCCUCCCAGCCACCCUUCCCUCCCCCAGCUCUGCCACUUCCUAGUUCUUUGACCUGACCGGGCAACCUGCAAAUACACAGUCACUAGCAUGCAUGCCCUGCCAGCACCUGCCCUGUCUCAUCCUGCUCUGUUCAUUGGCAAAACCCCACCCUGGCUAAACCCACCCAGCCUUGUACCCAUGUUGAGCAACUCAAUGCGGUUGGAGAACAUCUUGUCUUAUUGAUGGGUUUCACUUUCAAGCAUUAACCACUCAUGUCAGAUGCUGCCUGCAAGUCUCACUUUUCCUUGGCCACACCGCCCUCUCCUCUGCUCCAGGUCAUCAUUUCACAACAGCAUCCCCCACACCCCUCAUGUCACUCAUGUGUCACUGACAAACAGAAGCAUCAGAUGAGAAGAAGCAUCCCCAAACCCACCACCCUCCCUGCCUUGAUUUGGCUGCAAUGGGAGCUGUGAAGAUGGGCCCCUGCUCCCAUGGCUGUCUCCCCAUUUAUUCAUUAGCUCUUGUCCCCUCCCCCCAUCACAUGAUCCCUCUCUGCGUUACUACAGGACAAUUCCAUCAGCAUACAAACAUGGCUUAGCCUCCACAAUAUCAAAAGCUGCCUUUCUUUCUUUUUUUCCUUUUUUUUGAGACAGAGUCUCUGUUGCCCAGGCUGGAGUGCAGUGGUGUGAUCACGGCUCACUGCAACCUCCACCUCCCGGGUUCAAGCUAGUCUCAGCCUCCCGAGUAGCUGGGACUACAGGCGUGCACAACCAUACCUGGGGUCAAAAGCCGUCUUUCUUUGCUCCUCUUUGCAGCCCCAUCCCUCAAUAAUUGUCCCCCUCACCUCCUCUGCUUGUCUUUUCUCAACACAUCCCCAUAUAAGAGCUUUUAUCGGGAUCUCCAUAAUCUCCAUCUGGCUUAUCAAAUGGAAGAGCUCUGUCCUUACAGAGCCCACCUCAAAACAGCAGAAGACACAGUGGCUCCCUCUCUCCUUCUCAAUGCUGCCUUCUCCAGGCUCCAUGACAGCCCUACCUUGGUUCUCCUCCCAUGUCACUAGCAACUCCUUCCCAGUCUCCCUCCCUAGUUCCUCCUCAUCUUCUCCACCCUCGGGGCUCCACCCUCUGCUCUCCCAUCUCCAUUCUCUCCCUGGAUGAUCUCAUUCAGUCCCUCUGAUGAUUCCCAAAUCCGUAUCUUCAGGCGAGACUUUGCCUUUUUUUUUUUCUUUUAAAUUGGCAGAGUCUCUGUUGCCCAGGCUGAAGUGCAGUGGUACAAUCUCAGCUCACUGCAACCUGUCUCUGAGGUUCAAGCAAUUCUCUUGCCUCAGCCUCCCGAGUACGUGGGAUUACAGGCAUGCACCACCUCACCCGGCUAAUUUCUGUAUUUUUAGUAAAGAUGGGGUUUCACCAUAUUGGCCAGGCUGCUCUCGAACUCCUUACCUCAGGUGAUCCGCCCGCCUCGGCCUCCCAAAGUGCUGGGAUUACGGGUGUGAGCCACCACACCCAGCCAUACACCUUGCCUUUAAAUUCCAUGUUCAUAUAUCCGAUGGCCUACUUGAAUUUCCUCUGGCUGGCUAAUUCACUUCUCAAACAUGACCACAGCAGUCUUCUUCAGCCCAGCAAAUGACACUGCCUUUCUCACCCGAGGGGCUCAUGCCACCCAGCUCAAAAUCACCUCUGAUUCCUCCUUUCCCCUCUAUAAUCCUUUCACAUGGAGACAAGCCCUGUUUAGUGCUACCUACAAAAUAAAUCCUGAAUCCGUCCCUUCCUUCCACCCCCUCUUUCAUUACCCUAGUCCAAGCCUCAUCUUCUUAGAAGAAGAUCCAAAAUCUUCACCAAGAGCCAUAAAGCCCUGUGUCUAGCCACUCUGGUCUAACUUCCAGCCCUUGAAUAUGCUAAGCCUAGUCUCUCCAAAGGCCUUUGAGUGUGCCUGUGCCUGAACUCCUCCCCAUAGACAGGCUUAUGGCUCUCUUGAGUCAUUCACUUUCAAUUUUGACAUCAGUUUUUCCACAAGGCCUUCCCUGGCCAGCCGAUCUCAAGGAGUCUGUCAGCCACACUCAGCCUAUCACAUUGCCCUGUUUUAUUGUCUUUGUAGUACUUUCUCCCUGACAUUAUCUUUAAGUUGUCAACCUAUUCAUCAUCUAGAACGCAAGCUCCCUGAGGGCAGCCUCGCUAGUUGACUUACUUCUCUAUGCUUUGUGCCUCAAACAAUGCCCAGCAUGUGGUAAGUACUCA